Molecule: ribosomal RNA, 237 nt
Filed under: uncultured bacterium
Lineage: Bacteria
Description: partial 16S ribosomal RNA
Rfam family: Bacterial small subunit ribosomal RNA
Source: RNAcentral
UGAGCAAUCUGCCCUUCUCAUCGGAAUAAGCGUUGGAAACGACGUCUAAUGCCGAAUACGACCUCCUUUCGCAUGAUCGGAGGUGGAAAGCUCCGGCGGAGAAGGAUGAGCUCGCGGCCUAUCAGCUAGUUGGUGUGGGUAAUGGCCCACCAAGGCGACGACGGGUAGCCGGCCUGAGAGGGUGACCGGCCACACUGGGACUGAGACACGGCCCAGACCUCCGUACGGGAGGCAGCG